RNAcentral lists this ribosomal RNA (497 nucleotides) under uncultured bacterium. Its description in RNAcentral is "partial 16S ribosomal RNA". It matches the Rfam family "Bacterial small subunit ribosomal RNA", at positions 28 to 507 of the family's 1533-position model. The record is from RNAcentral.
GAUGAACGCUGGCAGCGUGCCUAAUACAUGCAAGUCGAGCGAACGGACGAGGAGCUUGCUUCUCUGAUGUUAGCGGCGGACGGGUGAGUAACACGUGGAUAACCUACCUAUAAGACUGGGAUAACUUCGGGAAACCGGAGCUAAUACCGGAUAAUAUUUUGAACCGCAUGGUUCAAAAGUGAAAGACGGUCUUGCUGUCACUUAUAGAUGGAUCCGCGCUGCAUUAGCUAGUUGGUAAGGUAACGGCUUACCAAGGCAACGAUGCAUAGCCGACCUGAGAGGGUGAUCGGCCACACUGGAACUGAGACACGGUCCAGACUCCUACGGGAGGCAGCAGUAGGGAAUCUUCCGCAAUGGGCGAAAGCCUGACGGAGCAACGCCGCGUGAGUGAUGAAGGUCUUCGGAUCGUAAAACUCUGUUAUUAGGGAAGAACAUAUGUGUAAGUAACUGUGCACAUCUUGACGGUACCUAAUCAGAAAGCCACGGCUAGCUACGUG